CAGAUCUAGCUUGCUAGAUGCUGACGAGUGGCGCACGGGUGCGUAACGCGUAUACAAUCUACCUUUAACUGAGGGAUAGCCCAGAGAAAUUUGGAUUAAUACCUCAUAGUAUUAUAAUUAGGCAUCUUUUUAUAAUUAAAACUUCGGUGGUUAAAGAUGAGUAUGCGUACUAUUAGCUAGUUGGUAAGGUAAAAGCUUACCAAGGCAACGAUAGUUAGGGGGCCUGAAAGGGUGAUCCCCCACACUGGUACUGAGACACGGACCAGACUCCUACGGGAGGCAGCAGUGAGGAAUAUUGCACAAUGGAGGAAACUCUGAUGCAGCCAUGCCGCGUGCAGGAAGAAUGCCCUAUGGGUUGUAAACUGCUUUUAUACAAGAAGAAACCUCGGUACGUGUACCGACUUGACGGUAUUGUAUGAAUAAGCACCGGCUAACUCCGUGCCAGCAGCCGCGGUAAUACGGAGGGUGCAAGCGUUAUCCGGAUUUAUUAGGUUUAAAGGGUCCGCAGGCGGAAUAUUAAGUCAGUGGUGAAAGCCUACAGCUCAACUGU
RNAcentral lists this ribosomal RNA (550 nucleotides) under uncultured Bacteroidota bacterium. Its description in RNAcentral is "bacterial SSU rRNA". It matches the Rfam family "Bacterial small subunit ribosomal RNA", at positions 70 to 616 of the family's 1533-position model. The record is from RNAcentral. Lineage: Bacteria; Pseudomonadati; Bacteroidota.